This 612-nucleotide long non-coding RNA is filed under the name Lactuca sativa (garden lettuce). RNAcentral's name for it is "long non-coding RNA (LSAT_LNC003785)". Lineage: Eukaryota; Viridiplantae; Streptophyta; Magnoliopsida; Asterales; Asteraceae. The record is from RNAcentral.
UUUCAUUCAUUAUGAGUUCACUUCUACUGAAGCAUCUCGAACAAUUGAUGAGUUCCGACCAUUGUUCAUCAAUGUAUCGACCUUUAAACCGAUUUUACGAUUCUCGUUAAGCCCUAAUUGGGCCAAAUUAUGUGUAUCGUCUAGAACUAAUAAGUUCAGCGACUGCUUAUUGAAACUAUGCAGGGCUAAAAUAGACCAAAUUAGGCCUAGAAUAGUUUCAGUUUCGUAUGAUUUACUAAUUCUUCACAGACAUGAUUGAGAUAAUGAGAAACAAAUACCAAUCGUGAUCGAGACGAUCAGGGACGUCAAUCAUCCACUCCGGAAGCAUAAGUUGACUGGCGAACCACCGCCGAGCUUCGGGGCCUUUGAGCUUAGCCGCUUGACGGAUGUCGAUAUCAGUGAUAUCUCCGGCAUCAGUCUCGGGUUCUUCAACUAUAGGCUNUCAGUCUCGGUUCUUCAACUAUAGGCUCGGGUACAAGUUCGACUGGUUCCAAAUGUUGAGGUUCGGAGUUGUGGUUUGGGAGUGAGAGGAUGGAGGAAGCGAGACGGCGGGCUUGCAGCUGAGCUUCAUUCCGGUUCUGAGCCUGCCUUUGCAAAGACAAUUCACGGCGU